GCGGCGGUUACUAUAGUGGUGUUUUUCGCAGCAGUUGGGAAAAUGCCACUAAAAGUCUGUUUUGACGUAGUGUCUUUCUCUCUCUCUCAUUUCUUUUCUAUUAUUCCUUUUCUCUUCCUCAAUUUUCUUUAUCUUAACUUUCGGAGUAUAUCAAAGAGAAGAUGCAGCCAAAUCAGUUGAAGAAGGUUUAUCGUAUCCAGUUAAUCCAAGACAAGACUUCCAGGUUUGAUUGUUCAAGCAAUCGUAUUAAGGAACUUCCAUCCUCACUUGGAAACUGCUCAGAUUUAUCAGGUCUAAAGGUAUCGAAUAAUUUGAUAACAAGCUUGCCUGAAGAUCUUACAAACUUUUCGAAAUUGACAAAACUAGAUGUGGAGGUAUUUAAAGACAAUUAUUUUGUACAAUGUGACUGCUUUGGAGAGUCUUGUUGGAAGUUGCUGUUGUAAUUUUUUUUCUUUUUUUGAUUAUGGGGUUGCUGUUGUAAUUAAUUAUCAUUAAUGAUGUAUUUCAGAGCCUAAUUUAUGCAUUAUGUUCUAAUUGUGUCAGGGGAGCAAGUUAACAGCUUAAUCUGAGAAUUUGUUUGCAUCAUGUACAAUGCUUACAGAACUCAAUGCACCAAAGAACUUGCUGAGUGGUAUACCAGAGAACAUUGGAUGCCUUACACGUCUCAUCCAUCUUGAUCUUCACAAGAACAGAAUAAUGCACUGUCAAUUUUAACCUAGGAAUUAGGUGCCCUUUCUCGUUUAGGGACAUUGGAUCUUCUCUCAAACCAGUUAUUCAAGCACUUAACUACAAUCCUGGUGAUUAUCAGACAGCUGGAGGUUACCUAAGCAGCAGUUACACUCGUCAGACUACCACAUGGAAUGGGAGCAAUUCUGUAAAUUAUACUACUCAGCAGUAUUCAAAGUACACUCAAGAUUCAAGAGGGGCUUAUGCCGCUGGAACAGAAAUGGAUUUGUAUAGAAACUGUUAUCAAAGUAAUGCUAAAGGAUUUGCUUAAACGGGUAAAGGGAUAGGAAUGGAUUUUUAUAUAAACUGUUGUCAAAGUAAUGCUUGUUGUGCAUGUUGUGAUAAUAGUCCUGAUUCUAUUGCAUGCUUCCCUUUGAUA
RNA transcript from Gossypium arboreum, 1105 nucleotides. RefSeq lists it as uncharacterized. The transcript is spliced from 6 exons. NCBI's taxonomy places the organism in Eukaryota, Viridiplantae, Streptophyta, Magnoliopsida, Malvales, Malvaceae. The record is from RefSeq and is a predicted model, not a curated record.